Molecule: ribosomal RNA, 606 nt
Filed under: Triticum aestivum (bread wheat)
Lineage: Eukaryota; Viridiplantae; Streptophyta; Magnoliopsida; Poales; Poaceae
Description: partial small subunit ribosomal RNA
Source: RNAcentral
AUGCUUGGUAGUAGUGUUUUUCCUUUUGUUGUUGGAGGCGACUUUAAUAUCAUUAGGAGGAGUAAAGAUAGGAAUAAAACUAAGAAGCUUCCCAAGUGGUCUUUCUUCUUUAAUUCAAUUAUUGAACAUUGGGGGUUGAAGGAGCUGGAGCUCUCUGGCAGAAAUUUUACUUGGUCAAAUAAUCAAAUUGAUCCUCUCUUUGUUAAGCUGGAUAGGAUUUUAGUUAGCCCUAGCUGGGAGCUGAAGUUUCCCUUAGUUACAGUCAGAACACUAGUUAGAGGUGUUUCUGACCAUGUAGCUUUACUUAUGCAUACUGGUAUUAAACCAAAUGUUUUUAAUAAACCUUUUCGGUUCGAAUUAUGUUGGCUUGCUAGGGAGGACCUUGUAAGCAUAGUUAAUACGGUUUGGAGUACUAAUUUGUGUGGUAAGGAUAAUCUGGCUGUCUGGCAGCAGAAGAUGAGGCUUUUGAGAAGGUGCCUGAAGGGCCGGAAUCUCAAUGUUGAAGGGAUGUAUAAGAAAAGUAGAAAUAGCUUAAUUACUCAGCUAGAUGAUAUUGAUAAAAGAUGUGAGCAAACUGGGUUCUCGGUUGCUGACUAUGAGAGUUAG